UCACAAAGGAAAUUGUUAUAUAAGAUUAUGCUAAUAGCAAUAAUGAGGUAGAUUUGUGAGUUGGCUUUUAAUAGGAUUUCAUGAUGACGUUGAUGUGUGUGUGAGUUUCAAUGUGUAAAGGCGUUUAUCUGAAUGAUUAGGCUUUCAUUCUUGAAGAAAUAAAAGCAAAAUUUAAUCGAUUCUGACCAGCCCUGGACAAGGCAAUGGGGAGCCUGAAAUAAGCAUGGGAUGAUGCUUGAUGAUAAGGUUGGUGGUAAGAGAAGAAUGAAAAAAGGUGUUAACCAAAUGCUGUGUUUCGAUUGUGAACAGCCUCAAAUUUUGGUAUAUAAAGUCGACGGUUUGAGUGUUCAAAUCAUCAGUUUCAAAUCGUUUCCAAUCAACUCAACUUGCAAAUCUUACUCUUGUGUUUACACACCAACCUCACUUAAACCUCAAAAUGAAAGCCAUCAUUGCCCUCCUUGUCAUCGCCCUCUUCGCCGCUGCUGCUGAAGUCGCCUACAGUCAAUACUACGCUGCACCAGCUUAUGGCUAUGGAGCUGCUUACGGUUAUGGAUACGCAGCCGCCCCUGUUUACACCGGCUAUGCUGGAUACCCAGCUGCUUACACUUACCUCAAGAAGUAAACUGGACUGAUCCCUUGAUAUGACCGUUCACAUCUUGACCCUUCUUCUGCCCAUCAAGUCUUUUAUCUCCUUCCAAACCCAACAGAUUAAAUAGUUUGUUACUCUACUUUAAAUCAACCUCAAAAAAACUGUUUUACGAUUUUUUGUUAUUUUCUGUUACACUUGGAUAUUGGUUGUGCACUUUUUUGUGUAUUGCCUCAUUUCCUAUCCUUAAUGCCAGGUCACUUUAUAAUUCUGCAGAGAUGAAAUUCGAUUAAAACCCGAGUUAAGUCAAUAAAAAUUUCAUGCUUUGAAA
Long non-coding RNA from Tetranychus urticae (two-spotted spider mite), 917 nucleotides. RefSeq lists it as uncharacterized. The record is from RefSeq and is a predicted model, not a curated record. Lineage: Eukaryota; Metazoa; Arthropoda; Arachnida; Trombidiformes; Tetranychidae.